Molecule: unclassified non-coding RNA, 231 nt
Filed under: fungal sp.
Lineage: Eukaryota; Fungi
Also listed under: 2 other names
Description: partial internal transcribed spacer region
Rfam family: Eukaryotic small subunit ribosomal RNA (bases 1-46)
Source: RNAcentral
AAGUCGUAACAAGGUCUCCGUUGGUGAACCAGCGGAGGGAUCAUUAAAGAGUUGCAAAACUCCCAACCAUUGCUAAACAACCACUGUUUCUUCGGCGGGUGGCCGCAUGGCCGCGCGCACCCCUCUCGGGGGGACGCACCCCGCCGGAGCACACCAAACUCUUGUCAUUAUUGAUGCUCUGAGUAAAAAACAAAAUUAUUACAACUUUCAACAAUGGAUCUCUUGGCUCUG